AGCUUUGUGUAGUGGCAGUAAUGUAGCCAAUAAAAUUUAUCCUAGGCAUGAUUAUUGUUAAUGGAAAACUUUUCCCAAUAUAUUUAUUCAGAGAGAUUAAAUGUCUUCUUAUAUAGAAAUUUUUAUCCAUAUUAUAUGACA
Molecule: small nuclear RNA, 141 nt
Filed under: Cavia porcellus (domestic guinea pig)
Lineage: Eukaryota; Metazoa; Chordata; Mammalia; Rodentia; Caviidae
Description: U4 spliceosomal RNA
Rfam family: U4 spliceosomal RNA
About the family: U4 small nuclear RNA (U4 snRNA) is a component of the major U2-dependent spliceosome. The structure of U4 snRNA from yeast and human has been reported. U4 snRNA presents a k-turn RNA motif in the 5p-SL related to recognition of Snu13 protein.
Source: Rfam by way of RNAcentral